Molecule: ribosomal RNA, 471 nt
Filed under: uncultured organism
Description: partial 16S ribosomal RNA
Rfam family: Bacterial small subunit ribosomal RNA
Source: RNAcentral
CACUCCUGCGGGAGGCAGCAGUGGGGAAUUUUGGACAAUGGGCGAAAGCCUGAUCCAGCAAUGCCGCGUGAGUGAAGAAGGCCUUCGGGUUGUAAAGCUCUUUUGUCAGGGAAGAAACGGUGAAAGCUAAUAUCUUUUGCUAAUGACGGUACCUGAAGAAUAAGCACCGGCUAACUACGUGCCAGCAGCCGCGGUAAUACGUAGGGUGCAAGCGUUAAUCGGAAUUACUGGGCGUAAAGCGUGCGCAGGCGGUUUUGUAAGUCUGAUGUGAAAUCCCCGGGCUCAACCUGGGAAUUGCAUUGGAGACUGCAAGGCUAGAAUCUGGCAGAGGGGGGUAGAAUUCCACGUGUAGCAGUGAAAUGCGUAGAUAUGUGGAGGAACACCGAUGGCGAAGGCAGCCCCCUGGGUCAAGAUUGACGCUCAUGCACGAAAGCGUGGGGAGCAAACAGGAUUAGAAACCCGUGUAGUCCC